AUAAAGAUAUGUUGGAAUAAUCGGGAAACAGAUGAGAAUUCUGUGCUGCCCCCGCAACGGUAAGUAAAUGUAAAUCAAAAUCAAUUAUGCCACUGCAUCUGCUAAUGUGGGAAGGGGGUUUUGAAUGGGUUUAACCUAGUUUACCAGCCCGGAGACCGGCCUUUGAGUAU
This 170-nucleotide non-coding RNA is filed under the name uncultured Entomomonas sp. The record is from RNAcentral. Lineage: Bacteria; Pseudomonadati; Pseudomonadota; Gammaproteobacteria; Pseudomonadales; Pseudomonadaceae.